GGUGGAAUGGAAGAUAAUCUUCCAAGCAUAUACUCUCUUUUCCCUCUCUGGUCAAAGUCUCACUCAUAGCGAUUGGCUUUCCUCUCUUGUCCGGUCAUCAAUUAAAUAUUACGCAGUCAUCUCUUCUUCUCUUCUCCUCUAUAAUGUUGCCCAGAAACCCCGCUCCCUCUCCUUCCAGAAUUCAUGGUAGCGUUUCUGAGAAAUUAGGAUCAUAGGUGAGUUCCGGCCACGUCUCCCUUGUCGCCGGUGAAGAUUCACCGAUCGUGAUUGUCUGGUUUUAUAAACGAACUCUGCCCUUUGCGGCUUUCUUCUUUCUUUUCGUAUUUGAUAUUUCUAUGACUUCUAAACACAGUUUGGGCACUUAAAUUUCUGAGCCCCUGUUUGGGUAUUUUUCCUAAUUUCAAUUGUCGAAUCAGGUUCCAGUGGAAUAAUAGUUUAGGUACAAAACAAAAAACUUAAGGAUAAGUUGUUGGACUA
Coffea arabica (coffee) is the source of this 477-nucleotide long non-coding RNA. RefSeq lists it as uncharacterized. NCBI's taxonomy places the organism in Eukaryota, Viridiplantae, Streptophyta, Magnoliopsida, Gentianales, Rubiaceae. The record is from RefSeq and is a predicted model, not a curated record.